This 265-nucleotide ribosomal RNA is filed under the name uncultured prokaryote. RNAcentral's name for it is "partial 16S ribosomal RNA". It matches the Rfam family "Bacterial small subunit ribosomal RNA", at positions 524 to 790 of the family's 1533-position model. The record is from RNAcentral.
CACGUAGGGGACGAGCGUUGUCCGGAAUUACUGGGCGUAAAGGGCGCGCAGGCUGCGUUACAAGUCAGCUGUUAAAUGCAUGGGCUUACCCCAUGAGUGCGGUUGAAACUGUAGUGCUAGAGUACUGUAGAGGCAAGCGGAAUUCCCAGUGUAGCGGUGAAAUGCGUAGAUAUUGGGAGGAACACCGGUGGCGUAGGCGGCUUGCUGGACAGUAACUGACGCUGAGGCGCGAAAGCCAGGGGAGCAAACGGGAUUAGAUACCCGU